AAUAAGCGCAGUUGUGGGUUUCAAUGCCCAACUUUGACCAUCCGUUUUUUUGAAAUAUUUUUAUCAUUAGUAUUUUUAUUGUUAUUAUAUGAUAAAAUAUGAAUAUUACUUUAUGUGUGACUUAACUUAUAAAUUUUUUCAUAAAAUUUUUAAAUAAGACGGACGAUUAAACGUUGGACGGAAACUUAUAGUUGCAUUUAUA
Non-coding RNA from Oryza glumipatula, 202 nucleotides. The record is from Rfam. NCBI's taxonomy places the organism in Eukaryota, Viridiplantae, Streptophyta, Magnoliopsida, Poales, Poaceae.